GAUCAAGACGACCACGAUUCUCGUAGUAGGAGUGCGCACACGCGAGACGGCCUGAGGCCGUCCGGCGAAAGCCACGUGUGCGCAAGCAAGGGCCCCCUCAGGGCCCUUUUUUAUUGCCCGAA
Molecule: small RNA, 122 nt
Filed under: Aurantimonas endophytica
Lineage: Bacteria; Pseudomonadati; Pseudomonadota; Alphaproteobacteria; Hyphomicrobiales; Aurantimonadaceae
Description: sRNA Atu_C8
Rfam family: Rhizobiales sRNA Atu_C8
Source: RNAcentral